This 253-nucleotide ribosomal RNA is filed under the name uncultured bacterium. RNAcentral describes it as "partial 16S ribosomal RNA". It matches the Rfam family "Bacterial small subunit ribosomal RNA", at positions 524 to 776 of the family's 1533-position model. The record is from RNAcentral.
UACGGAGGGUGCGAGCGUUGUCCGGAAUCAUUGGGCGUAAAGGGCGCGUAGGUGGCGGGACAAGCGUGCGGUGAAAGCUCGGGGCUCAACCCCGAGUCGGCCGUGCGAACUGUUUUGCUUGAGCACUGUAGAGGCAGGCGGAAUUCCGGGUGUAGCGGUGGAAUGCGUAGAGAUCCGGAAGAACACCGGUGGCGAAGGCGGCCUGCUGGGCAGUAGCUGACGCUGAGGCGCGACAGCGUGGGGAGCAAACAGG